UGUUAAAAAUUUCAUCUAUUUAUAUCGAUAAGUGUGACUAAUGGAAUAACUAAACAAAAAUACAUGGUAUGUAACGUGUUUUUCAUGUUAAUGUACAAUGAUGAGUUUUUAAUAAUAGAAUUAGAUGGAAUUUUUGACA
This 139-nucleotide microRNA precursor is filed under the name Gossypium arboreum. Its description in RNAcentral is "MIR7502 microRNA precursor family". It matches the Rfam family "MIR7502 microRNA precursor family". The record is from Rfam by way of RNAcentral. Lineage: Eukaryota; Viridiplantae; Streptophyta; Magnoliopsida; Malvales; Malvaceae.